UCGCCCUUCGGGGUGCAGCAGGCGCGAAAACUUUACAAUGCUGGCAACAGCGAUAAGGGGACCUCGAGUGCCAGGAUACAAUCUUGGCUGUCGUGAUGCCUAAAAAGCAUUACAUAGCAAGGGCCGGGCAAGACCGGUGCCAGCCGCCGCGGUAACACCGGCGGCUCGAGUGGUAACCGCUAUUAUUGGGUCUAAAGGGUCUGUAGCCGGCCGGAUAAGUCUCUUGGGAAAUCCAGCAGCUCAACUGUUGGGCUUCCAGGGGAUACUGUUCGGCUCGAGGCCGGGAGAGGUGAGAGGUACUUCAGGGGUAGGGGUGAAAUCUUGUAAUCCUUGAAGGACCACCAGUGGCGAAGGCGUCUCACCAGAACGGUCCUGACGGCAAGGGACGAGAGCUAGGGGCACGAACCGGAUUAGAUACCCGGGUAGUCCUAGCCGUAAACGAUACUCGCUAGGUGUCAGCCACGGUGCGACCGUGGUUGGUGCCGUAGGGAAGCCGUGAAGCGAGCCACCUGGGAAGUACGGCCGCAAGGCUGAAACUUAAAGGAAUUGGCGGGGGAGCAC
Molecule: ribosomal RNA, 561 nt
Filed under: uncultured archaeon
Lineage: Archaea
Description: bacterial SSU rRNA
Rfam family: Archaeal small subunit ribosomal RNA
Source: RNAcentral